Non-coding RNA from Vicia faba (fava bean), 240 nucleotides. The record is from the annotation of a GenBank genome assembly. Lineage: Eukaryota; Viridiplantae; Streptophyta; Magnoliopsida; Fabales; Fabaceae.
AUGCAAUCUCUCUCCGUCCGCAGCUCCCUCCGUCUGCAACCUCUCUGCGUCUACAACUUCCCUAUGUCUGCAACCUCCCUCCGUCGCGUUCUGCUUCCUCCCAGCUGGUACAAUCAGCUCCGAUCAACCUCUACUCUUCCUCUUCAUAUACUUCAAGCAUCUUCAACAGGUAUUGUUAUAAUCUCCUUUGGUUUUCUGUUGAAUCUUGAAUUUAGAGUUGUUGUUUUAACUAUGAUAUAG